RNAcentral lists this ribosomal RNA (232 nucleotides) under uncultured bacterium. RNAcentral describes it as "partial 16S ribosomal RNA". It matches the Rfam family "Bacterial small subunit ribosomal RNA", at positions 99 to 334 of the family's 1533-position model. The record is from RNAcentral.
CGGACGGGUGAGUAAUGCAUAGGAAUCUGCCCAGUAGCGGGGGACAACUUGGGGAAACUCAAGCUAAUACCGCAUACGCCCUACGGGGGAAAGCGGGGGACCUUCGGGCCUCGCACUAUUGGAUGAGCCUAUGUCUGAUUAGCUUGUUGGUGGGGUAAUGGCCUACCAAGGCAACGAUCAGUAGCUGGUCUGAGAGGACGAUCAGCCACACUGGGACUGAGACACGGCCCAG